RNAcentral lists this ribosomal RNA (231 nucleotides) under uncultured bacterium. RNAcentral describes it as "partial 16S ribosomal RNA". It matches the Rfam family "Bacterial small subunit ribosomal RNA", at positions 118 to 350 of the family's 1533-position model. The record is from RNAcentral.
UGGGCAACCUGCCCCUGACACUGGGAUAACCCCGGGAAACCGGAGCUAAUACCGGAUACUCUCGGCCGAUCACAUGGCUGGCCGAGGAAAGGUCCGCCGGUCAGGGAUGGGCCCGCGGCCUAUCAGCUUGUUGGCGAGGUAACGGCUCACCAAGGCGACGACGGGUAGCCGGCCUGAGGGGUGACCGGCCACACUGGGACUGAGACACGGCCCAGACUCCUACGGGAGGCA